RNAcentral lists this ribosomal RNA (463 nucleotides) under uncultured bacterium. Its description in RNAcentral is "partial 16S ribosomal RNA". It matches the Rfam family "Bacterial small subunit ribosomal RNA", at positions 28 to 507 of the family's 1533-position model. The record is from RNAcentral.
GAUGAACGCUGACAGAAUGCUUAACACAUGCAAGUCUUUGGCGAAGCUGUGCUUGCUCAGCCUAGCCAAGGCGGACGGGUGAGUAACGCGUAAGGAACUUGCCCUGCAGUCAGGGAUAACAGACGGAAACGACUGAUAAGACCUGGUAAAGUCAGGCGGACUCAUGUCCAGCCUGAUGAAAAGAGAUGCUGCAGGAGAGCCUUGCGUCCUAUUAGCUUGUUGGUGGGGUAACGGCCCACCAAGGCGAUGAUAGGUAGCCGGCCUGAGAGGGUGGACGGCCACAAGGGGAGUGAGAUACGGCCCAUACUCCUACGGGGGGCAGCAGUGGGGAAUAUUGGACAAUGGGGGCAACCCUGAUACAGCAAUUCUGUGUGCACGAUGAAGGUUUGCGGAUUGUAAAGUGCUUUCAGCAGGGAAGAAAAAAAUGACGGUACCUGCAGAAGAAGCGACGGCUAAAUACGUG